RNAcentral lists this long non-coding RNA (626 nucleotides) under Elaeis guineensis (African oil palm). RNAcentral describes it as "long non-coding RNA (EGUI_LNC027170)". Lineage: Eukaryota; Viridiplantae; Streptophyta; Magnoliopsida; Arecales; Arecaceae. The record is from RNAcentral.
UCCCUAAUGCUCCCAUCAACAUUAACCUUCAGAUACCUUGGAGGUGGGGCUUCCAAAUGAUGAACACAUAUCAGAUCACUACAUGAAUAUGGUGGGAGUCACAGAUCUCCGAAGGCCUAAAGGUCACAUCAAUCAGCUCCUACAUCAGGAUUAGAGCUCUCUCAAAGAUGAACCUUGUCAGGCAUCUCCUGGACUCAAAAACUAUAUUAUUUCGGGCCAACCAAAUAUACUAGACGAUACAGGCAAUCCGAAUAGCAACCUUCCUGGGUGCAUCACCCUCAGCCCUCCGCCUCAAAAGAUCAAUGAAGGCUCUAAUCGGAUCCUUCACCUGAAUAAUUCAUUGAUGCAAACCCGCUAAGAACCAAACCCAUCUAGCUGAUGGAUAUAGAAAAAGCGUCUGCUCCACCAUCUCUUCCACUCCAUAAUUGGAGCAGAUAGCCUGAAUAUCUAUACCUCUCUCCCUCAGAAUGGUCCUGGUUGGAAGCCUUCCUCAGACGACCUUCUAGAGGAAGAGGCUCACUCUCAAAUACACCCCCAACCUCUAAAUCCAUCCACCAUCUAGAUGCCUGAUGGCCUUCGACUGGUACAGUUGGUAAAGAUCAGCUGUGAUUGGUCUCACUAUACAG